This is a non-coding RNA of Oryzias latipes (Japanese medaka), 411 nucleotides long. NCBI's taxonomy places the organism in Eukaryota, Metazoa, Chordata, Actinopteri, Beloniformes, Adrianichthyidae. The record is from RefSeq and is a predicted model, not a curated record.
AAAACAUUUUCUUUAUGUGGGUUUUUAACUUCUUGACUGAAGCACAUUUGAGAUAGAAAAGUAUUUGGAGCCAGCUUCACUUCAGCAGAACCAGACUCUGAGGACCCCACAAGCUAUCACAGCUCUGCCUUUCCACCGUGCAGCAGGAGGCUGGAGGUGACGGAUCCUCUUAGGGGGCAACAACAAAUCUACCGAGAUUCAAUUAUUGAUGAGAAGCCUCAAAGGUGCUGUCGCUCCAUCUUUACUUUACUUGAUGCAGCUGAAGAAAUGCUCACAACAUAGUCAUCAACAAGCAAAAGCAGAUGAGUAAUCAUCCAAACCUGAAUGAUGACUGUCUCCAUAUCAAGUGAGAUGGAGAGAUAAUCUCGUGCACUUGAAAGCAACAUCAAGUGAAUACGUGUUACCUUCUGA